Non-coding RNA from Cinara cedri, 1065 nucleotides. NCBI's taxonomy places the organism in Eukaryota, Metazoa, Arthropoda, Insecta, Hemiptera, Aphididae. The record is from the annotation of a GenBank genome assembly.
UACUUGGAAUAUUUCUCUUUCCAACUUAUAUAAACACAAAAAGUAUUAUGAGCCAAUCCUCUGCACUUACACGGUUUAUGCUAUAAAUAAACAUUAUACACAUUAUGGAAACUUUAUUUACGACAAAACUGACCUUAAUUAGCAUUUUGGGAAAAAAUUAAAAAAUAGUAUAGACAAAAUGUUAUAAAGUUUAGUAUAUUAUAAAUAUAAACGCAUUUAGGUAUAUUCUAGACAUUAUAAAAAAAUAGUAAAAAUUAAAUAAGUACAUGAAAAUACAUAUAAAAUAUUAUCUCAAUGUUUGACAUAAAUAAAUCAAAAUUUAAUGUAAUAAAUAAAAUAUAAAUUUGAUAAAAUAAUAAAUAAGUACAAAAAUAGAACACAACUCUAAUGUCUUUAAAAUAACUUAUCAUUAAGUUUUAAAUACUUAUGGCUUAAUUUUUCAAUAUAAUAUCAAAAAUGGUAGUACAAAAAUAAAAAUAAUAUUCAAAUUUAUAUUAAAUAAUAGUAGUAUAAAAGAGUACAAUUAUAAUUGGUUAGGUUUUAUUUGAAAACGUUUUAAAUUUAUUUCUUUUCAUUUUUGUUCAGUGAUAUAAAAAAUAUAGUUUUUAAUAGAAAAUAACACUUAUGCCACUGCCAUUUUCAAUUAUCAAUUUAUGUUUUCUGUUUUUAUUUUUAUUAAGGUUAUUGCAUUUUUAUUAUUUAAUAAAGUUUUCAACGAGUUUUCCAGACCCAAUUUGUAUAAAACAUAUUAUUAUUCAUUUCAUUUAAUCAGAUUCAAUGACUUAAUGGAUAAAUAAAAUAUUAUAAAACGAGAAAACAUUAUAAUUUGUUUUGUUUUAUUUAUUUUUUUUAUUAAAAUAUAUUAUUAUUGUUCAAUUUUAUUAAUAUUUAAAAAAUAACAUUAAUAAAAGAUGUUUUUAAAGUAAUUUUUUUUCUUUAAAUUAAAACCAAAAAUGACAAGUCUACAAUAAAUAAUAAUAAUAUUUAAAAAAUAAAUGUAUUUUAAAUAUUCAUGUAAAAAUACGUAUACAUUACAUAUUAUAUUUAUAUAAAUUCAAUCAUUUA